RNAcentral lists this transfer RNA (68 nucleotides) under Marmota monax (woodchuck). RNAcentral describes it as "tRNA.Ala". It matches the Rfam family "tRNA". Rfam says of the family: Transfer RNA (tRNA) molecules are approximately 80 nucleotides in length. Their secondary structure includes four short double-helical elements and three loops (D, anti-codon, and T loops). Lineage: Eukaryota; Metazoa; Chordata; Mammalia; Rodentia; Sciuridae. The record is from RNAcentral.
GGUAGGUGGCUCAGUGGUAGAGCGCUUGCCUAGCAUGCAUGAGGCACUGGGUUCAAUCCCUGGCACCA